This 435-nucleotide ribosomal RNA is filed under the name uncultured Saccharofermentans sp. Its description in RNAcentral is "partial 16S ribosomal RNA". It matches the Rfam family "Bacterial small subunit ribosomal RNA", at positions 341 to 792 of the family's 1533-position model. Lineage: Bacteria; Bacillati; Bacillota; Clostridia; Eubacteriales; Oscillospiraceae. The record is from RNAcentral.
ACGGGAGGCAGCAGUGGGGAAUAUUGGGCAAUGGGCGCAAGCCUGACCCAGCAACGCCGCGUGAAGGAUGAAGGUCUUCGGAUUGUAAACUUCUUUGAUUGGGGAAGAAUAAAUGACCUACCCAAAGAACAAGUCACGGCUAACUACGUGCCAGCAGCCGCGGUAAUACGUAGGUGACAAGCGUUAUCCGGAUUUACUGGGUGUAAAGGGCGUGUAGGCGGUUCUGUAAGUCAGAAGUGAAAUUCCCGGGCUCAACCUGGGCGCUGCUUCUGAAACUACAGAACUUGAGUACUGGAGGGGAAAGCGGAAUUCCUAGUGUAGCGGUAAAAUGCGUAGAUAUUAGGAGGAACACCAGUGGCGAAGGCGGCUUUCUGGACUGACAAUGACGCUGAGGCUCGAAAGCGUGGGGAGCAAACAGGAUUAGAUACCCUGGUA